UACAGAGGCCUCGAGCGUUAGGCGGAAUCACUGGGCUUAAAGCGUGUGUAGGCGGACUUCUAAGUCCCUUGUGAAAUCCCACGGCUCACCCGUGGAACUGCUGGGCAUACUGGGAGUCUUGAGCCACCUAGGGGCGAGCGGAACAAAUGGUGGAGCGGUGAAAUGCGUAGAUAUCAUUUGGAACGCCAACGGAGAAAUCAGCUCGCUGGGGGUGUGCUGACGCUGAGACACGAAAGCCAGGGGAGCGAACGGG
Molecule: ribosomal RNA, 253 nt
Filed under: uncultured bacterium
Lineage: Bacteria
Description: partial 16S ribosomal RNA
Rfam family: Bacterial small subunit ribosomal RNA
Source: RNAcentral